Chrysoperla carnea is the source of this 3940-nucleotide RNA transcript. It is a transcript of the gene named serine/threonine-protein kinase PRP4 homolog, with no coding region annotated. Lineage: Eukaryota; Metazoa; Arthropoda; Insecta; Neuroptera; Chrysopidae. The transcript is spliced from 9 exons. The record is from RefSeq and is a predicted model, not a curated record.
AAUUCAUAAAUAACAAAAAUGCAACACGAUUUCAAUAAACAUUUGUGACGUGAAAUUUGUUCUUGAAACAUUAAUAAAUUAUUUUCUGUCAAAAUAUUUGAAGAAUUCAAUUUUUGUUAACAAAAAUGUCGUCAGAUUCGUCAAUUGAAGUACUUUCAGAUAAUGCUCACAGUCCACCUAGUAAAAUGGAUAUAGCAGACAAUGGUAGUGCACUUAAACGUAAAAAGCGUAAACAUAAGAGUAAACAUAAAAAGCAUAGUACGGAAAAAGUACGCAAACAUAAGAAACAUAAGCGGAAGGUAUCUGUAAGUGAUGAGUCCGAUGCCGAAACAACACCUAAAACAAAGCGUCCCAAGGACGUUGUUAUUGAUUUAGUUACUACUGAUCCUGUCCCAAUUUCAGAUGUUAGAUACACUCCAGAAUUAUCUCCAACCAGAAUGAAACAAAUUAAUGGAAAUAAAAUACUCAAAAAAGUUAACACAGAUCCAGCUGCGGUAGUUGAAGAUAUCACAGCUGGAUUAGUAAAGUUACCCGAUAAUGUGUCUUUGGAAGUUAUAUCCUCUGAAAGUGAGCCAGAACCAGUCGUGGAAUACGAUAGUGAAGAUAUUGAUGUUGGAAUUAUUGAAGAAGAUAUGAAUCUUGAAGAAUUAAUGAAGCAAAAAGCACUGUUACAAGCAGUACUUGGGGAGUUCAGUGAAGGGGAAGUACAUGAUGAAGAUGAGUCUGAAUCAAAAACACCAGCUGUACCCGAAGAAGUUAUUCUUCUCGAUGAUUCCAGUAAUGAUGGUGGGAAAAUUAGCGGUUCUAAGAAAUUUGAUCGUAGAGAUAGAAAACAUUCAUCAAGUAAUGCUGAAAAGUAUUCGAAGAUUUCAUCGAGGAAAAAGCAUCGUGAACGUUCACCACAAUCAUAUCGACAUAGUUCGAGAGAUCGUCGACUAUCUAGAGAAAGAGAAAUGGAUCGUCGUAGAUCUAGAGAGAGAGAAAUGGAACGACGAUCUAGAGAUGAUAUAAUGAGAUCUAGAUCACGACAUGAUGUAGAUCGCGAUUAUAAUAGAAUGAGAGAGAAUUAUCAUCGAUCAAGAGAUCGUGCUGAUUCUAGAGAUCGACAUCGUGGUAAUUAUAGGGAUAGGGAAAGAGAUAGACAUUAUAGGCAUAGGCAUGACAGAGACAGAGAUAGGGUAGAUGAGAAAAAAGACAAAUAUAAAGAUUCAUUAAGUGAGGGACUAACUUUACAGAAAGAAGACUCGAGUGAUAGUGAAAUUGAUGCGAAUAUUGACAUCAAAGAAGAUGAAGAUGAAGAACAGAUUAUUGAACGGAGGAGAAAACAACGUGAGGAAUUAUUGAAGCGAUUGGGAGCUGUAAGUGAAGAUAGCAAUACAGUGCAAUCAAUAUCAUCAAGUCCCACAACAAAUAAUGCAUCCAACGAAUUAUCAAAAAUGAAAGUUGAAGCAACACCCCCAGAAACGAAUAAUGAAAUCAUUAACAUUGACGAUGAUGAACGGAACAAGUCUUUAACACCACCCGUUGUUAAUGUUGUACAAAAUAAUGGAAAAUUAAAGAAGAAUAAGGAAACUGAAGAAUCACAUACACCUCCAAUUCCACCUGCAAUGCUCAAACCUAAAACACAACAGGAAAUUAAGGACACAAAAGAAAAUAAAAAUACAAAGAAAUGUGAUUGGGAUAUGUUUGCUGAACAGGAUACCUUUGGUGUUGUGGACUCACCUGGUGGAGCUGCAAUUUCAAAUCGCCGUGGCCAUGAUAAUCCUGCAUUAACGGAUAAUUGGGAUGAUGCAGAAGGAUAUUAUCGUGUACGUAUUGGUGAAACGUUAGAUAAUCGCUAUGCUGUUUAUGGAUAUACGGGUCAAGGCGUAUUCAGUAAUGUUGUUCGAGCUAGGGAUCUUGCACGUGGCGGACAAGAUGUUGCUGUGAAAAUUAUUCGAAAUAAUGAAAUCAUGCAUAAAACUGGUUUACGUGAAUUAGAAGUAUUAAAACGGUUAAACGAUUCCGAUCCAGAAGAUCGAUAUCAUUGUAUGCGUUUAUUCCGACACUUUUUCCAUAAACAACAUUUAUGUAUGGUUUUAGAACCAUUAGCCAUGAAUUUACGUGAAGUAUUAAAAAAAUAUGGUAAAGAUGUUGGGUUACAUGUAAAAGCUGUCCGAAGUUAUACUCAACAAUUACUAUUAGCAUUACGUUUGCUCAAAAAAGCUGGUAUACUCCAUGCCGAUAUCAAACCCGAUAAUAUUUUAGUCAAUGAAAGUAAAUUAAUUUUAAAAUUAUGUGAUUUUGGUUCUGCUUCGCAUAUAAACGAUAAUGAAAUUACACCAUAUUUAGUAUCACGAUUCUAUCGUGCUCCAGAAAUUAUACUUGGUAUACCGUACGAUUAUGGUAUUGAUAUGUGGUCAGCGGCAUGCACAAUUUAUGAAUUGUAUACAGGACGAAUUAUGUUCCCAGGGAAAUCAAACAAUCAAAUGUUGAAAUAUUUUAUGGAUGCAAAAGGGAAAAUACCAAAUAAAGUGAUACGAAAAGGUGCAUUUAAGGAACAACAUUUUGAUACAAAUUGUAAUUUUUUGUAUCAUGAAGUUGAUAAAGUUACGGAACGGGAAAAAGUGGUUACAAUGUCUGUUGUAAAUCCAUCACGUGAUUUGCAAGCUGAACUAGUUGCCGGACAAGCAUUGCCGACUGAACAGACACGUAAAGUAACUCAAUUACGUGAUUUACUUGAACGUGCCUUGGCACUAGAUCCAGCUAAGCGGAUAUCAUUAAAUGCUGCACUAACACAUCCAUUUAUACAAGAUAAAAUCUAGCAGCAUUCAUCUGGUUAAAAAUAUGGACGUCAUUUUAUUGUCGGAGAAGAAGAAGCUGUUGUGUGACGAGAAGUUUUGUGGGUGAUGUGGUAUGCAGAGACUGGAAUAUGAAUAUCAUGAUGCUGCAGUGUCGAUUGAGAACUAGAUCCUGGGUUCUUUCUCGUCUGCAGGCUAAAGUGUUUCACACUAAAUGAAGAUGUGUAACUCCCACACAAGAUAAUUUUAAAUAAAAAAGUUAGUGGUCCAAAAUUGGAGAGGACAUUGGAACGUGAAGAUUGACGUGGAACUUUCGAGGUAAAAGGUAAAUUUUAAAAAAAUUCUGAAAGAUUUUGCUCAGAGAGAAGAUAACGUUCUCAAUGCUUGGAAUAGAAUAUGAAUUUUAGGUCUGGUUAUCUGGAUGGAAUUCUAAGCCAUCUGGAUGCGGGAUUAAAUAUUUUAAUUUGAAGUCUACCUGUUGUUUGGACAGACUUGAGAGAAAACAAUGUGAAUUGGGGAAAAGAGUUGGAAUGAGAGGUUAGAUGUUAGAUUUGUAUAAGAACAAAAGAAAUCUCCUAAAUUUCCACAUACUCUUUGUGAUUAGGUGUUAAAAAACAAACAAAAACCGCUGUAGCUCAGUUGCUUAAAGCGUAACCCAUUCCGUUUGUGGUAUGCCAAGGGUAGCGGGUUCGAUUCCCGCUGUCACAACCAUUGUGAUGGGUUGGUGUAGUGCAUGGUAGAUAAUAAUUAAGGGGUUGAUAAAUGAAAUUAUCGGCGGAAAGGUAGUAAACCACAUAAUGGUAUCACAAUGGGCCUUAUGGUCUAAGUGUGUCGCUCGUGUACAGCCAAUAUAACCUAACCUAACGGGUAUGUUAUCUUAAUGUACGAUUCAAACGAUAUUUCGUUGACAAAUCGCUAAACGAUUUUUAAUAUUUUGUGAUACAAUCUAAAAUGCAAAUCGAUUAUGAAUACUCAUCUGAUCCUUAGAAAAUAACCUUAAUUCGACUAAAACGUCUUCAAUCAAUGAAAACAUCCUGGGAUAUUGGGAAACACAUUGUACAAAUUGUAGAUUUGCACUCAAACAUUUUUUGUUGUCGUCUUUUGGAGCACUGGUUUUGUAGUAGAAGCAGAUUUACUUAUUUUCAACGAAUAUCUAAUUU